Xylaria digitata is the source of this 85-nucleotide non-coding RNA. The record is from the annotation of a GenBank genome assembly. NCBI's taxonomy places the organism in Eukaryota, Fungi, Ascomycota, Sordariomycetes, Xylariales, Xylariaceae.
ACCGAAUUGGUGUAGGGGUUAACAUGCGGGAUUCUCAAUCUAGAGUGAUUAUCCUGAGCCAGGAGUUCGAGUCUCCUAUUCGGUG